UUAAGUUCAGCGGGUACCCCUGCCUGAUCCGAGGUCAACCUUGCGAGUAGGUCUUCCGGCAGACGUGGCCCCGACUUUCAAAGCGAAAGAUAAGAUUCUGCUACGCUUAAAGCCGGUGCCACGCCGCCGAACGUUUCGAGGCGCGUCCCCAAAGAGGACGUCGCCCAACACCAAGCCAGGCUUGAAGGGUGAAAUGACGC
Molecule: unclassified non-coding RNA, 200 nt
Filed under: Cenococcum sp.
Lineage: Eukaryota; Fungi; Ascomycota; Dothideomycetes; Gloniales; Gloniaceae
Description: partial internal transcribed spacer 2
Source: RNAcentral